RNAcentral lists this ribosomal RNA (119 nucleotides) under Pteropus alecto (black flying fox). Lineage: Eukaryota; Metazoa; Chordata; Mammalia; Chiroptera; Pteropodidae. The record is from RNAcentral.
GUCUACGGCCAUGCCACCCUGAACAAGCCCGAUCCCGUCUGAUCUCAGAAGCUAAGCAGGAUCGGGCCUGGUUAGUACUUGGAUGGGAGACCACCUAGGAAGACCAGGUGCUGUAGGCA